Haliotis rubra (blacklip abalone) is the source of this 613-nucleotide long non-coding RNA. RefSeq lists it as uncharacterized. The record is from RefSeq and is a predicted model, not a curated record. NCBI's taxonomy places the organism in Eukaryota, Metazoa, Mollusca, Gastropoda, Lepetellida, Haliotidae. The transcript is spliced from 3 exons.
CAAUUAUUCAAAUUCACUGAACUUUUGAUCAAUGUACAUCAGUGCAUAGACACAAGUGGGGUAUCCUCCAAGAGCGUAGGGGGGUGGUGGGGUAGUCUAGUGGUUAAAGCGUUGGCUCGUCACGCCGAAGACCCGGGUUCGAAUCCCCACAAGGGGAAAAUGAGUGAAGCCCAUGUCUGGUGUCCCCCGCCGUGAUAUUGCUUGAAUAUUGCUAAAGCGGCGUAAAACCAAACUCAGUCAGUCAGUCAGUCCAAGAGCGUAGGCUUCGUAUAUACAUUUCAACCAAAAGACAUUUUGAUCAAGUUUGUGGUUGUGGUGUGUAGGUGAUCAAGAUUUUGUGUAUAUUGUUGAUUUCAGUGUUGUUAUCAGUUACCCAUAUGAGAAGUUGUCAAGGGUUUUAUUGAAUAUUGCUUUAUAAAUAUAUAAUGAAUAUUAACAAUUCAUCAGCUUUCAUAUUGAGUGAUACAAACAUCGCUCAUUCUCUCUAAUACCACAGAAUAUUUGACUUGACGAUUUUGUGUUUUAUGUGUUAGAAUGUGCAUUAUGACAUUGUGAAAUUUAAAUCUAUUAACGCCGAUUAAAAGCUUAAAAUCAUUAAAAUCAUUAAACGUGA